UACGUAGGGUGCAAGCGUUAAUCGGAAUUACUGGGCGUAAAGCGUGCGCAGGCGGUUUUGUAAGUCUGUCGUGAAAGACCCGGGCUCAACCUGGGAAUUGCGAUGGAGACUGCAAGGCUUGAAUCUGGCAGAGGGGGGUAGAAUUCCACGUGUAGCAGUGAAAUGCGUAGAGAUGUGGAGGAACACCGAUGGCGAAGGCAGCCCCCUGGGUCAAGAUUGACGCUCAUGCACGAAAGCGUGGGGAGCAAACAGG
Molecule: ribosomal RNA, 253 nt
Filed under: uncultured bacterium
Lineage: Bacteria
Description: partial 16S ribosomal RNA
Rfam family: Bacterial small subunit ribosomal RNA
Source: RNAcentral